UACCAGCACCCCGAGUGGUCGGGACGUUUAUUGGGCCUAAAGCAUCCGUAGCCGGUUCUGCAAGUCUUCCGUUAAAUCCACCUGCUUAACAGAUGGGCCGCGGAAGAUACUAUAGAGCUAGGAGGCGGGAGAGGCAAGCGGUACUCGAUGGGUAGGGGUAAAAUCCGUUGAUCCAUUGAAGACCACCAGUGGCGGAGGCGGCUUGCCAGAACGCGCUCGACGGUGAGGGAUGAAAGCUGGGGGAGCAAACCGG
RNAcentral lists this ribosomal RNA (253 nucleotides) under uncultured bacterium. Its description in RNAcentral is "partial 16S ribosomal RNA". It matches the Rfam family "Archaeal small subunit ribosomal RNA", at positions 474 to 727 of the family's 1478-position model. The record is from RNAcentral.